CUCCGGUAGCCGGACAGCCGGUCAGCGCUGCGAGGACUCUGGCGGGCUGGGAGGUGCCGCCCUCCCGUACGGGACUUCCUGUCGGCCAUGUUGGCCAGGCGGUGCGCUGCAGGGUGCGGUCGGCUGGUGCCGGACUUCGUGCCGGCCAUGUUGGGCCCCUCGGCGUGCUGUGGCGCGUCGUCUGCGGGAGGCCUCCGAGCGGCCGUUCCGGGCCGCCGGUGUGCUGCGGGCCGCAGCUCCCCCGCCUUGCGUGGCAGCAGCCCCUGGGAGCGGUUGGAUGGCGGGGCUGGGCAGGAGCUGCUGGGAAGGCCCUACCAGUGGCUCGUGAAGAAGACAUCUUUGACUACAUCCACUGGAAGCACCUAGAGCCAAAGGACUGGAAGUAAAGGAAACACUUUUCUGAGACAAUACCAAACAGCAUGGUGGAUGUGCGUCUAACGCUAAUAUAGCGUUGCAGGAGGCAGCUGAGAGUAGUCGAUAGCCCAGUGCUCCGGACAUGCCAAGGCAGAAGGAGGAGGACCAGCUACUGAGCUUCCGCAGAGAGUGGAGAAAGAGGAGGAGAAUCCUGAUGGGAGAUUGUAUGCUGUCUAAAUAUUCCUGAGGCUUUGCCUUGUGAUGCUUUUCUCCUGGUAGGCUGAAAAACCUACCUUCUUCCCCUUAAGAUAUUCCCCACCUUUUAUGAUGUUACCUUUUCUGUUUUGAGACCUGAUAUUUGCUUGCUUAGAGGAUUUACCUUGAUUCUGAUAUUGGGUUGAUCCUUUUCAUUCUGAACCAUUCUUUUCUUCUGCCCUUUCUUUAGUUGGGGGAAUGUCUUCCAAGCUGACUGCAGGCUUCUGGUGCAGAAAAGGAACAGUAUAGCUGUAGAUACUGGGUAUAGAUAUAGAUAUUGGAUGUAGAUGUGCUUGUUUGGAGAAAACUAAAGUUUCUAUAUCUAGAGAAAAGAGCCAACCUAUUUUUCUUUUCCCUCCCUCUUCUGAUAUUCUCAAAUAUUCAGAGAUCCAUUUCUGCAUAAGCUUUUAGGACAAGCCUUGAUCUAAAAACCUCAGGUGAUGGAGAAUAAGCAAGAUCUUUGAUUUUAGGAAUUAUUUUCCAAAAAUACACCUGAUGAAAAUAGAUAAAAUUGUCUAAUGUAGGCUUUUAACAGACAACUCUGUGAAAACAGCCUCUGAAAACAUAUCACAGAAUGCAAGAUUGCACCUCUUCUCUUGGUUAAACAGUCUUCUGGUGAAGAGAUCAAGCUUUCGAUUUGCUGUAGGCAUUCUUCCCCCUCAGAGCUUCAGAUUGCUCUGCAAGCAUUCCCCUCUGAUCUGUUUUUCAUUCUCUGUAUCCUUCAAGUACAGACACCAUAAUGAAACACUUGUUACAGUUGGCUGUGUCCUGAGUUACUCAUAAAGAAGGAAUGUCAUUUCCUGCCUCUAUCUCCCCUGCCCAUUUUUCUGUUAUUUCUCCCAGAGGCAUGCUGAAGCUCAUGCUGAAACUGCUCUUCUGUCCUUAAUUCUAAAUCCUUUCAAUAUGGCAAUGUGCUGAUGUGACCCUGGCUCUCCUGUUGUGUGUGACCCAUGCUCUCUGUUCCUAGGUGUGCUCUAGUACUUUCAGUAGCAGGGUUCAACAUUUUAUUCAACUUACCAUUCCCCAGAAGCCCAGCCUGAUGAACUCAUACAUUUCUGCCUUCCUGUGGAGUCACUUUGCCUUUUCAUUGGCAAACCUGACAACUCUGAUUUUACAGCUCCUGUUUAGUCCUUUUGAAAGGUAAUGAGUAUUUUGGACUUGAGAGCAGAUCUCAGCAAGAUUGCAUUACUAGUUGUAUUUGGGAUACCAGUUCUGUUAGGUAGCUUUUAAAAAGUUAUCCACUAGUUAGUUUUAAUUCACUUAGAGCAUCAGUAUGACACGUAUUGCCGUAUUUUAUUUGAAUACAACCUGGGAGUAAGGCAAAUGCAUUACAGAACUGCAGGCUUGAAUAGGAAAUCCAAAUAUUAUCAUUAAUUAUGGAACCAUUCUUUGGUUUGCUAACAAUUAGGUCCUUUAUCAGCCUUUAUCAGCAGAGGGAGCUUUGCACCUGUAGUAUGAUCAGACUACUCAACAUGUGUUGACUUGACUCAUCAAACAAAUACUGAUGCAAAAUUAUUUUUAUUCUUCUCCCUCCUGGCCCUACAGAGCUACCACAUUUUUACUUGUUCUUAAUGAAUUAACAUGUAUUACUCUCAGUAAUACAGGCUCGAGGUUAAUGCUCUUCAUCAUUUCCCCUUAUCUUCCUCUGUAUUUCCUAGCGGGAGAUUAGACGUAUUUGCCAUGAAUGUUCACCAUUACUAAUGCAUGCAGUGGUACGUAGCACAACAAAAAGUUACUCUGGUAGUGCCUGGGGUCUUCCAGGACCUCCUAGUAAACAGCUGCAUUCAGUGUUGUUUGCCAUUUAUUCAUACUGAAGACAAAGUGAGAAUCCCAUCACUUGUGCAUAGUCCUAUUUGAUUCUUUGCUGUCACGUAAGUAGCACCAAAACACAACAGCAGGAGCUUUCCGUGUUAGCAAAUGGUCCCUGGCCGGCACCUCGAAUCACACUGAUGCAGUCUCCAUGAGCCUCAACAGCUAGCACAGAAGACUGUUGUGUCCUGGGGCUUGAGGCAGAACGUGCUGCCUUGCAGGGUUUGUCCAGAGCACGCGCUGAACUCUUCUGGGAGGAAGAAAAAGCAGUUGGUCAGAUAUUGAAAAAAAGCAGAACUAUAUGAAUGCAUGAUACACUUUUUUUUCCCACUCCCACACAAUAAAUUAGCCCUCUCCAGGGCUGCUUUGAGCA
Molecule: long non-coding RNA, 2791 nt
Organism: Apteryx rowi (Okarito brown kiwi)
Lineage: Eukaryota; Metazoa; Chordata; Aves; Apterygiformes; Apterygidae
Source: Ensembl